RNAcentral lists this ribosomal RNA (193 nucleotides) under uncultured bacterium. RNAcentral describes it as "partial 16S ribosomal RNA". It matches the Rfam family "Bacterial small subunit ribosomal RNA", at positions 1307 to 1500 of the family's 1533-position model. The record is from RNAcentral.
GAAAUUCGCCUUCAUGAAGCUGGAAUUGCUAGUAAUGGCAGGUCAGCAUACUGCCGUGAAUACGUUCCCGGGCCUUGUACACACCGCCCGUCACACCAUGAGAGUUGGGAAUACCCGAAGCCUGUGAGCUAACUUAUAGAGGCAGCAGUCGAAGGUAGAAUCAAUGAUUGGGGUGAAGUCGUAACAAGGUAGC